GCGGCGGCACGUGGGACGGAUCUCUUGGAUUUACCCGUAACGAGGAGCGGCGCACCCCAGGAGCCCCGGCAGCACCCCAGGAGCCCCGGCAGCACCCCAGGAGCCCCGGCAGCACCCCAGGAGCCCCGGCAGCACCCCAGGAGCCCCGGCAGCACCCCAGGAGCCCCGGCAGCACCCCAGGAGCCCCGGCAGCACCCCAGGAGCCCCGGCAGCACCCCAGGAGCCCCGGCAGCACCCCAGGAGCCCCGGCAGCACCCCAGGAGCCCCGGCAGCACCCCAGGAGCCCCGGCAGCACCCCAGGAGCCCCGGCAGCACCCCAGGAGCCCCGGCAGCACCCCAGGAGCCCCGGCAGCACCCCAGGAGCCCCGGCAGCACCCCAGGAGCCCCGGCAGCACCCCAGGAGCCCCGGCAGCACCCCAGGAGCCCCGGCAGCACCCCAGGAGCCCCGGCAGCACCCCAGGAGCCCCGGCAGCACCCCAGGAGCCCCGGCAGCACCCCAGGAGCCCCGGCAGCACCCCAGGAGCCCCGGCAGCACCCCAGGAGCCCCGGCAGCACCCCUCCCCCGGAGGGGGAUCCCGGCGCGCCACCCUCCCCCGGAGGGGGAUCCCGGCGCGCCACCCUCCCCCGGAGGGGGAUCCCGGCGCGCCACCCUCCCCCGGAGGGGGAUCCCGGCGCGCCACCCUCCCCCGGAGGGGGAUCCCGGCGCGCCACCCUCCCCGGCAACAACCUGUUGCCAUGUAUGGCGAUUUGUAUCAGUCACAAGCACACAACCCCUGCUAGUAUUAAUGGUGUUUAAGACGUUCUACAUGUACGGCGGACCGCAUCCGUCGCAAGCACGCGCAUAUAACCCCCAAAUGCCCCAUGAUGAGAAGCACAGCCACGCGUCAAAAAACUUUAAAAACAUCGUUAUCCAAUAUCAUUAAAAACCACACCGAAAUUUACACAGGUAGCACGUGACCGUGUUAGUGUCACCCACUGUACACAAGGCGUGUCGUAUAUGUAGUAUAGGUAUUUGAUGAGGCGGAAGCAUAUCCCGCUUCCAGCGAACGGAAACAAGAAUCAUCCGUUCCAGCAUUUAUUCAAAGGGGGCACAGAGGAUUCACAUUGUUUAGAGAGAGUUUUUCUUAGUCACCAUUCCAUACUUGGGCAGUAUUGGCCUACGAUUUGGGCGACGUUUCAGGCUGGUCUAUUCUCCGUCCACUUUUCCCCGGCUAUUCUGUCCCAGCAUAGGCUCUUGAAAUAAACAAUGUUUACCGAGUAAAA
This 1263-nucleotide long non-coding RNA is filed under the name Human gammaherpesvirus 8. The record is from RNAcentral. Lineage: Duplodnaviria; Heunggongvirae; Peploviricota; Herviviricetes; Herpesvirales; Orthoherpesviridae.